AUAUCCGAACGCAAUCAUUUUUGUAAUGGCAACACAGACUUAGACGCCUAGUGCCCAGCCUAGGUGCCCUGAUUCCGAAUCAAUUUUCUUCAGGACCGGGCGCGAGCUACACUGCUGCUACGUUGCUUCGAAGACCGACGCCUUGAGAAGGUAUAUCAAGCCGUUCGGAGCGUACGUGCGGAAGAAGAGAAGCACUUGAUUAGAUUGAGGCGUCAAAUAACCUCGGCCAGCCAUCGUGGCAUAUCCACGGCCAUCGAACCUGUACUCUUGAGGGCCAGACUGCGAGGAGAUCAAUUUAUCCCUGGGUUCUGUGGAGUUACCUGUCAACGAUGACUUGGUACCAGCGGUUGUCGGCAACCAUCUUGUCAAUGGAGACCCUCGCCGGAUCCUGGCCAGGUUCGGAGCUGUCCCCGAUGUCCAUCACUACAUACGGGUAUCCGUUCUGAAUGCCGAUCACCAUGUAGUCGUCCUAAAAAACGGUAGUGUGAAAUAUUAGAAAUUGUGUUGAAGUGUUGUGAGUGCGUUACAUGUGUGAGUGUGUGUUUUUAUGAUGUGCGCGUGUUACGAAGUGAGUGUGAGUUUGUGUGUUAUAUAGUGCCGGUUAUAUUUAGUGCGUGUACUCAUGAGUGCGUUAUAAGUUUAUUGUAUGCUGUAAUAUGGUACAAAUCAUUGUUAUGUUGUUAAUAGUGUAAGAAUAUUAUGAUUUUAAGACAUACCGAUUUGGUUCUCCUCAGCAUGGUUCCCUUAGGGUUGCCGAGGUACAGAAUGAAGCCAUCCUUUUCCUUUGUUCGGAAGUAUGCCGACACGUGCGUGGAGGUUGACAUCUCAUCGACCGUAUCCGGUAGGCGGGGUUGCAAUGUCGACCACCGAUCAAACGUCACUCCAACUUGAAUGCGAUUAGCUACCGUACGCGCCUGGGGUUAAGAGAGAAGCGUUAAUUUUGUAAUGAAAUUUCUUUUCGAAACUAGUCGGGGUAGGUGGGAAGGGUGAACUUACAAAAAUAAAUAAACAGAAUACAAAACCGCGUAAUCAUAUAUAUAAAUGUCUUAUCAUGAAAAUUACCGUGCAUCAUUAUUACAAAAUACGCGAUUUGUAAAUUAUUAUAGAUAAAAAAAUAUAGAAUGAAUAAAUCAACAAAAAGCUAGUCAAUUAACUUUUGGUCACCGUAUCACAAAUUCCGACUCAACAAAAUUAAUAUGUAAAUAAAAAAUUAUAAGUAAUUUCUAUUCGGUCGCGGUAAAACAAACUAAAUUCAAGAAUACGAUAUUCAUUAUAACUAAAAAAAUGUUACCUGCCUAUUUACUGAACUGAAAAAAAAACACAAGCCUAUUUAAUGAAUUGAAAUGAUUGGGUUAAACAAAUUUCUAAGAAACAGCGGAAGGAGGAAUUCUCUUAAGCAUAUUAGAGUAAAUCUCGUUUUGUCGGUAAAUCCAAUAGGGUCAAAGAAAACAUUUAAAUUGAAAAAAAGUAUGUAUGUGUAAUCACAGCAGAUAAACCAACAAACAAUAAGUGGUCGCGGUAGAGCAAACUAAAUUCGGAAUACGAUAUUCAUUAAAACAAAAAAAAAACACAAGCCUAUUUAUGAAUUGAAAUGAUUGGGUUAAACAAAUUUCUAAGAAACAGAAGAAGGAGGAAUCCUCUUAAGCAUAUUAGAGUAAAUCUCGUUUUGUCGGUAAAUCCAAUAUGGUCAAAGAAAACAUUUAAAUUGAAAAAAGUAUGUAUGUGUAAUCACAGUAGAUAAACCAACAAACAAUAAAUAAGUGGUCGCGGUAGAACAACCUAAAUUCAGAAUAUGUUAUUCCAUAAAGUUACAAAAAAAUGUUACCAGCCUAUUUACUGAAUUGGAAUUAAUGCGUUAAGUAAAUAUUUAAGAAACACGGAAAGGGGUGAUCCCCUUAGGCGUAUUAGAAUAAAUCUCAAUUUAUCGGUCAAUCCAAUAUGGUAAACAUGAAAAUAAAAAUUGAACAAAAAUAUGAUUGUGUAAUCACAGUAGAUAACCCAAUAAACAAUAAGUGGUCGUGGUAGAGCAAACUAAAUUCGUAAUAUGAUAUUCAUUAAAAUAAAAAAAAUGUUACUAGCCUAUUUACUGAAUUUGAAUUAAUUCGUUAAACAAAUAGCUAAGAAACAGAGGAAAGAGGAUCCUCUUAGGCAUAUUAGAAUAAUUCUCAUUUUGUUGGUCAAUCAUGGUCACUUUGAAAAAAUUUAAAAUUAAAAUUUAAAAUUGGUAUAACAAACUAAAUUCAGAAUACGUUAUUAAUUAAAACUAUAAAAAUGUUAUAUGCCUAUUUACUGAAUUGGAUUUAAUGGGUUUAACAAAUUUCUAAAAAACAGAGGAAGAGGGGAUCCUAUUAGGCAUAUUAGAGUAAUUCUCACUUUUUCAGUCAAUGCAAUAGGGUCAUUUUGAAAAAAAAAUAAAAAUAAUAAUAAUUAUGUUUGUGUAAUCACAAGUAGAUAAAUCAAAAAACGAUAAGUGGUCGCGGUGGAACAAACUAAAUUCGGAAUACGAUAUUCAUUAAAACUAAAAUGCUAAAAAUGCUACAUGCCUAUUUACUGAAAUGGAAUUAAUGCGUGAAAUAAAUAUCUAAGAAAUCGAGGAGGACCAUCUUAGUCAUA
Long non-coding RNA from Bombyx mori (domestic silkworm), 2613 nucleotides. RefSeq lists it as uncharacterized. The transcript has 3 exons. Lineage: Eukaryota; Metazoa; Arthropoda; Insecta; Lepidoptera; Bombycidae. The record is from RefSeq and is a predicted model, not a curated record.